Molecule: microRNA precursor, 69 nt
Filed under: Gallus gallus (chicken)
Lineage: Eukaryota; Metazoa; Chordata; Aves; Galliformes; Phasianidae
Description: microRNA gga-mir-466 precursor
Gene: gga-mir-466
Source: miRBase by way of RNAcentral
AGUUUUCUGAGUGUACAUAUAUGUAUGUAUGUAUAUAUAUAUAUAUAUAUAUACACACACACAUAAGAC